RNAcentral lists this ribosomal RNA (450 nucleotides) under uncultured bacterium. RNAcentral's name for it is "partial 16S ribosomal RNA". It matches the Rfam family "Bacterial small subunit ribosomal RNA", at positions 354 to 796 of the family's 1533-position model. The record is from RNAcentral.
GUGGGGAAUAUUGGACAAUGGGCGAAAGCCUGAUCCAGCCAUGCCGCGUGUGUGAAGAAGGUCUUCGGAUUGUAAAGCACUUUAAGUUGGGAGGAAGGGCAGUAAGUUAAUACCUUGCUGUUUUGACGUUACCAACAGAAUAAGCACCGGCUAACUUCGUGCCAGCAGCCGCGGUAAUACGAAGGGUGCAAGCGUUAAUCGGAAUUACUGGGCGUAAAGCGCGCGUAGGUGGUUCAGCAAGUUGAAGGUGAAAUCCCCGGGCUCAACCUGAGAACUGCCUCCAAAACUGCAUGACUAGAGUACGGUAGAGGGUAGUGGAAUUUCCUGUGUAGCGGUGAAAUGCGUAGAUAUAGGAAGGAACACCAGUGGCGAAGGCGACUACCUGGACUGAUACUGACACUGAGGUGCGAAAGCGUGGGGAGCAAACAGGAUUAGAUACCCCAGUAGUCC